Molecule: long non-coding RNA, 2137 nt
Filed under: Piliocolobus tephrosceles (Ugandan red Colobus)
Lineage: Eukaryota; Metazoa; Chordata; Mammalia; Primates; Cercopithecidae
Description: lncRNA (ENSPTEG00000005223.1)
Source: RNAcentral
AAUACCAUGUUCAAAAAAGAUGUUAUCAAUUUUAUUCAAUUUUUAUAUCUCGCUUGUAUAUUUAUUUUUGAAAGUAUGAAUGAACAGAAAAAAAUGUUUAACGCAAUAAGUACAAAUAUUUUUUUCUCUUCAUUUUUUACACCAUUCUUUCAUUUUUUUUCUAAUGUGCUAAGUCAUUUUCACGACAUUUCUACGUCCCCUAUUGUAACCAUGUCACUACACUCUACCACCGACAUGGAUACACGACAAAAUAUAACUAAAUUAAUUGAAUACUCAAAAGAUGAAUAUAAUUGUCAAAACAAAAAAGAGCAAAAAAACUGUGAGGAUCGUAAUAAGAACAGCCUCGAUGGUAACAACGGCGAUAAUAACGACAACCACAAUGAUAUCGAUUCUUUGAGUAAUAUAUUUUUUACAUACAAUAAGCACAUGCGACAGGCCCUAAUAAAGUACAAACCGUUUACUCUUUUUUUCCAAUACGUAUCUAAUAAUAAUUAUAAUACCAAUUGCUACCGAAUUCUGGAUCUACUCAUUUACGAAGGAGAUGCACUGUUAGAAACGAGACCAAAUAAAAACGAUAUUUUAAUUGAGCUAAUAAAUAAAAACGAUUUUUAUUUUACUAAAAUAUUAUCAUUCAAUUUUAAUGAUAAUGAAGGAAUAAUCGAAACAGUUAUAUAUAUAUUUUAUUUAUGCCUUAGCUAUGACAAAAAUUUUAUAGAAAAAAAACUAAACCAUAGUAAGAUGCAUAAUUACGUCGAAAGUAUAUUUACUUAUAAUGAUAACAAUAAAAAUAUAAACCCUAUCUUUUUAUUUAUGGCAUUAUCAUACGCUUAUUAUUAUAUAACUCAAGAUAAAAUAUUAUCAAUUUUUAAAUGUAUUAAAAAAGAAAUGCAUAAAAUAAAUUUACAAUCCUGGUUAAAUAUUAAAAAAAUGAAAAAUAUACAUUUUGUUUUUGAUUGUAUAUUUUCUCUGAAAAUUAAUACUACUAUUUAUAAUUAUUAUUUCGCAUUCAUUAUUUAUAUUACCAAAUUAGAGUUGUCUUUAUAUUCUUUACAGCAGUCAGACCAAAUAGACAACAGGUUGUAUAUGUCUAUUUCUAAGAAUAGCGUAAGUCCUACUUCAAAAAAAAAAAAAAAAAAAUUAGUCCGAGUGUAUUCGUUGAUGUAUAUAUAUAUAUAUAUAUAUGUAUAUGUACAAACAUAUGUAUCCCCAUGUGUCCACCUGUUUAUUCACAUACACAUGCACCUACUCAUACAUUCACUUACCGCACAGGACCUACUGAAUAACAUCUUCGAACAUGUCGAACGGGACAACAUACAAAACAAAGAUGUAAUAUAUGUCUAUUAUUUAAUAACAAAACUAAGAAAAUACGCUUCCGAGCAAAGUAAAAAUUUAAAUUUAUAUAAAAUGAUGAACACUGUGAUUAGGUAUAUGAACUCAAUAGUUAAUGCAUCGGAAGAAAUAAAUAAUGUAUUUUCUUUUUUUUCUAUAUUCUUUGAAAAUUUAGAAAUAUAUGCUCAAACAGAUAUAUUUAACAUAAUUAUUGUAUUACAAAAGUUAUCAUUUUAUGUAAAAUCGUCAUUAAAAAAAUAUUUUGAUAAAAAUAUGCACCUUUUAAACGAUGAAGAUAACAAGAAAGAUGUUAUUUUCAUGUCCUUAAAAUUUGAAAAUUGGUUUUUUUAUUUCAUAUUAAAUUUAAUUUUAUAUUGUAAAAGAUAUAAUCAAAUAAAAAAUAUAAAUAUUUUAUCAUCUUCAGUACCAUUAAUACAAUUAUUAGUUUAUUCUAUACAAUUUACUAAUGAUGACUUCAAAAGCUUAGCAAUCCUUAUACUAUCAUUACUUAUUUUACCUUAUCCGAUUGUACAUAAAACGAUCUCACCGCUACUUAUGAUAUUAUCAACGUCUUUUGACAAAUGUUCUGAGGAUAUAUUACUAUCUUCCGUGUCCGCAAAAUCGCUUGGUAGUACUAGUGGUUGUGACCAUAACAACAGUAAUACCAAUAGCAAUAGUAACAACAAUAUGAGUAGUAGCACCGACAGUAAAAAUGAUAAUGAAUAUGUUAAAACUGAUGAAGGUGUUAUUAGGAAAAAAUAUGUAAUUAGAAAAAACUUGUUUUAUCCUUUAAUCACUAGUAAACACG